This is a non-coding RNA of Phoenix dactylifera (date palm), 725 nucleotides long. Lineage: Eukaryota; Viridiplantae; Streptophyta; Magnoliopsida; Arecales; Arecaceae. The record is from RefSeq and is a predicted model, not a curated record.
AAUGUGAUUUCUCCUCAUGAUAGGUCUGUUGGAUAACUGUAGUAGAUUUUUAUUCUCAAUAUUCACAAGCUUCUUGUUAAACUGCAAGAAGAUAUUGAUAAUUGGAACUUUUAGCUUAUGAUCAAAUGGAUCUAAGAAGCAGUGCAUGAUUAAUAUUAUUGGCUGCUUAGGGAUCUUGACUGGAUGAUCCUCACGUGAUGAAUCUUUGGUCAAAGGAUCUAAAACCAUUGAAUUUAUGAACAUGGACUCAUCAUAGACUUGAUCUUUGACGAGACAUGACUUUGUUAGAAUAGUUUGUUCCAUGGUUGGAUCUUCAUCUGUUUGUUUUCAUCUAAAAGGGCGUCCUAAUGCACAAGACUCUCUCCAUUCUAGGAGGGUCAAAUGUAUGCAGCCUUUUUCUUGGGUGCUGAGGAGCUAUUCCCAUAUUUUGAAUCCAUGACACCUAGGUCAGAAUGGAGCAACCUUACCAUUGCCCUCCCCCCUAACCGUUUGUUUUCAUCUGAUAACUAAAUUCUUUUCUUGUCCUGGACAGACUGAGAUGCUGGAGUUCAUUCGGUCAUUUUCCACUGUACAGAUAAGAUUGUAGCUAGGAGUUUGGAAUGAUGGUGGAGUGGAACUGCAACAAUAGGUGCGUCAUUGUGAUCUGCCUGCUCUGAUACCAAAUUGAUGUACCUCCAGUUGGACAAUGAGCUACAAAAUAUGAAUCUGCUGCGAGUUAGCGAAUA